CGCUGAAGCACUUUCGGGUGUGGAUGAGUGGCGAACGGGUGAGUAACACGUGGGUAACCUGCCCUGUACUUUGGGAUAAGCCCUGGAAACGGGGUCUAAUACCGAAUAUGACUCGCUAAGGCAUCUUGGUGGGUGGAAAGUUUCGGCGGUACAGGAUGGGCCCGCGGCCUAUCAGCUUGUUGGUGGGGUAGUGGCCUACCAAGGCGACGACGGGUAGCCGGCCUGAGAGGGUGACCGGCCACACUGGGACUGAGACACGGCCCAGACUCCUACGGGAGGCAGCAGUGGGGAAUAUUGCACAAUGGGCGGAAGCCUGAUGCAGCGACGCCGCGUGAGGGAUGACGGCCUUCGGGUUGUAAACCUCUUUCGCCAGGGACGAAGCGCAAGUGACGGUACCUGGAGAAGAAGCACCGGCUAACUACGUGCCAGCAGCCGCGGUAAUACGUAGGGUGCAAGCGUUGUCCGGAAUUAUUGGGCGUAAAGAGCUCGUAGGCGGCUUGUCGCGUCUGCUGUGAAAAUCCGGGGCUUAACUCCGGACCUGCAGUGGAUACGGGCAGGCUUGAGUUCGGUAGGGGAGACUGGAAUUCCUGGUGUAGCGGUGAAAUGCGCAGAUAUCAGGAGGAACACCGGUGGCGAAGGCGGGUCUCUGGGCCGAUACUGACGCUGAGGAGCGAAAGCGUGGGGAGCGAACAGGAUUAGAUACCCUGGUAGUCCACGCUGUAAACGUUGGGCGCUAGGUGUGGGCGACUUCCACGUUGUCCGUGCCGUAGCUAACGCAUUAAGCGCCCCGCCUGGGGAGUAC
Molecule: ribosomal RNA, 802 nt
Filed under: Amycolatopsis sp.
Lineage: Bacteria; Bacillati; Actinomycetota; Actinomycetes; Pseudonocardiales; Pseudonocardiaceae
Description: bacterial SSU rRNA
Rfam family: Bacterial small subunit ribosomal RNA
Source: RNAcentral